AGUGAACGCUGGCGGUAGGCCUAACACAUGCAAGUCGAACGGCAGCACAGUAAGAGCUUGCUCUUACGGGUGGCGAGUGGCGGACGGGUGAGGAAUACAUCGGAAUCUACUUUUUCGUGGGGGAUAACGUAGGGAAACUUACGCUAAUACCGCAUACGACCUACGGGUGAAAGCAGGGGAUCUUCGGACCUUGCGCGAUUGAAUGAGCCGAUGUCGGAUUAGCUAGUUGGCGGGGUAAAGGCCCACCAAGGCGACGAUCCGUAGCUGGUCUGAGAGGAUGAUCUGCGACACUGGAACGGAGACACGGUCCAGACUCCUACGGGAGGCAGCAGUGGGGAAUAUUGGACAAAGGGCGCAAGCCUGAUCCAGCCAUACCGCGUGGGUGAAGAAGGCCUUCGGGUUGUAAAGCCCUUUUGUUGGGAAAGAAAAGCAGCAGGUUAAUACCCCGCUGUUCUGACGGUACCCAAAGAAUAAGCACCGGCUAACUUCGUG
This 492-nucleotide ribosomal RNA is filed under the name uncultured bacterium. RNAcentral describes it as "partial 16S ribosomal RNA". It matches the Rfam family "Bacterial small subunit ribosomal RNA", at positions 29 to 507 of the family's 1533-position model. The record is from RNAcentral.